GACGAACGCUGGCGGCGUGCCUAAUACAUGCAAGUCGAGCGGACUUAUCUGGGUAGCUUGCUAUUUGGAUAAGUUAGCGGCGGACGGGUGAGUAACACGUGGGUAAUCUGCCUCGUAGUUUGGGAUAACAGGCCGAAAGGUUUGCUAAUACCGGAUAAGUUCAUGUUGUUGCAUAAUGGCAUGAAGAAAGGGGAAACCCGCUAUGAGAUGAGCCCGCGCCCCAUUAGCUAGUUGGUGGAGUAACAGCCUACCAAGGCGACGACGGGUAGCCGGCCUGAGAGGGUGACCGGCCACACUGGAACUGAGACACGGCCCAGACUCCUACGGGGGGCAGCAGUAGGGAAUCUUCGGCAAUGGGCGAAAGCCUGACCGAGCGACGCCGCGUGAGGGACGAAGGCCUUCGGGUUGUAAACCUCUGUCUGGGGGGACGAGAACGGACGGUACCCCCGGAGGAAGCCCCGGCUAACUACGUG
This 473-nucleotide ribosomal RNA is filed under the name uncultured bacterium. Its description in RNAcentral is "bacterial SSU rRNA". It matches the Rfam family "Bacterial small subunit ribosomal RNA", at positions 28 to 507 of the family's 1533-position model. The record is from RNAcentral.